Molecule: long non-coding RNA, 503 nt
Organism: Suricata suricatta (meerkat)
Lineage: Eukaryota; Metazoa; Chordata; Mammalia; Carnivora; Herpestidae
Exons: 4
Source: RefSeq, a predicted model, not a curated record
GGCCCCGGUACUAAUCUAGUCACCCUAGCUGCCGAAGGUGUGAGGCGCUUGCUUGGACAUCCGGGAAAUGGACCCAGCCCUUUUCUACACGGAGCCCGUAAAAGUGACAACUCCAUAGAGGCUGAGGUGAUACCAAUUUGCACAAGCACAUCUCUAAUGUUUAACAUAGAAUCUGAUGCCUAUUAAGGACUUGAUACAUAUUUGUUGAAGAAAGAAGAGAGAGAGAGAAGUGUUGAGAAUAACUCCAAGGGUGUGUUGCUGCUGAUAGCUAUGGAGGAAUCAGAAGGAAAGGCAGAAAUGGAACAGUGAAGGAGAAGGUGAAGGAAAACCAAGUAGUGCUGUGCCAGCAAAGCCAAAGACAGAAGCGGCACCAGGAAAAGCAGAUGAAGAGGCUGGCCAAGUGUUUGGGGUUUGGAAAUGAUGUCAGUGGACAUGCAAAUGAGAUCUGGGAAGUGAAAAGCCUCCUCUGGAAUCUUAAAUGGAAUAUUAAAUACACACACUUC